Molecule: ribosomal RNA, 465 nt
Filed under: uncultured bacterium
Lineage: Bacteria
Description: partial 16S ribosomal RNA
Rfam family: Bacterial small subunit ribosomal RNA
Source: RNAcentral
UACGAACGCUGGCGGCGUGCUUAACACAUGCAAGUCGUACGGUAAGGCCCUUUCGGGGGUACACGAGUGGCGCACGGGUGAGUAACACGUGAGUAACCUGCCCACAACUUUGGGAUAACGCUAGGAAACUGGUGCUAAUACUGGAUAUGUGCUCCUGCUGCAUGGUGGGGGUUGGAAAGCUCCGGCGGUUGUGGAUGGACUCGCGGCCUAUCAGCUUGUUGGUGGGGUAGUGGCCUACCAAGGCGGCGACGGGUAGCCGGCCUGAGAGGGUGACCGGCCACAUUGGGACUGAGAUACGGCCCAGACUCCUACGGGAGGCAGCAGUGGGGAAUAUUGCACAAUGGGCGCAAGCCUGAUGCGGCAACGCCGCGUGCGGGAUGACGGCCUUCGGGUUGUAAACCGCUUUCAGCAGGGACGAAGCUUUUUGUGACGGUACCUGCAGAAGAAGCACCGGCUAACUACGUG